AAUUGGAGGGCAAGUCUGGUGCCAGCAGCCGCGGUAAUUCCAGCUCCAAUAGCGUAUAUUAAAGUUGUUGCAGUUAAAAAGCUCGUAGUUGAAUUUCGGGAUCAAUAUUUCGGUCAUGCCGUUGGUAUGCACUGUUAUCAUUGAUUUCUCACCUUCUAAAGAACCGUAAUGCCAUUAAUUUGGUGUUACGGGGAAUUAGGACUGUUACCUUGAAAAAAUUAGAGUGCUUAAAGCAGGCUCACGCUUGAAUACAUUAGCAUGGAAUAAUGAAAUAGGACAUCCGAUUCUAUUUUGUUGGUUUCUAGGAUCGAUGUAAUGAUUAAUAGGGAUAGUUGGGGGCAUUAGUAUUCAAUUGUCAGAGGUGAAAUUCUUGGAUUUAUUGAAGACUAACUACUGCGAAAGCAUUUGCCAAGGAUGUUUUCAUUAAUCAAGAACGAAAGUUAGGGGAUCGAAGACGAUCAGAUACCGUCGUAGUCUUAACCAUAAACUAUGCCGACUAGGGAUCGGAUGAUGUUAAUUUUUUAAUGACUCAUUCGGCGCCUUACGGGAAACCAAAGUGU
This 560-nucleotide ribosomal RNA is filed under the name uncultured Glomus. Its description in RNAcentral is "SSU rRNA". It matches the Rfam family "Eukaryotic small subunit ribosomal RNA", at positions 546 to 1106 of the family's 1831-position model. The record is from RNAcentral. Lineage: Eukaryota; Fungi; Glomeromycota; Glomeromycetes; Glomerales; Glomeraceae.